This 283-nucleotide ribosomal RNA is filed under the name uncultured bacterium. RNAcentral's name for it is "partial 16S ribosomal RNA". It matches the Rfam family "Bacterial small subunit ribosomal RNA", at positions 28 to 244 of the family's 1533-position model. The record is from RNAcentral.
GAUGAACGCUGGCGGCGUGCCUAAUACAUGCAAGUCGAGCGGUAAGGCUUUCACAGGUUAUUUAACCAGAAUAAGUUCCGAUUAGGAAUACUAUCUGCAGCGAUGUUCCCGGCUAGGGAACAGAGUUGAAUAAUGUGUGAAAGUACACGAGCGGCGGACGGCUGAGUAACGCGUAGGAACGUACCCCAAAGUGAGGGAUAAGCCCGGGAAACCGGGUCUAAUACCGCAUAUGAUCCCGGUAUUAAAGCCUUCGGCGCUUUGGGAGCGGCCUGCGUAUGAUUAG